GUGAGUAGUUCAGAGUUUGAUCCUGGCUCAGGACGAACGCUGGCGGCGUGCCUAACACAUGCAAGUCGAGCGGGGAUCUAACGAUGAAGUUUUCGGAUGGAUUUGUUAGAUUCUAGCGGCGGACGGGUGAGUAACGCGUGAGCAAUCUGCCUAUCACAGGGGAAUAACGCAUCGAAAGGUGUGCUAAUACCGCAUGAGACCACAAUGGGGCAUCCCGAAGGGGUCAAAGAAAUAUCGGUGAUAGAUGAGCUCGCGUCUGAUUAGCUAGUUGGUGAGGUAACGGCCCACCAAGGCGACGAUCAGUAGCCGACCUGAGAGGGUGAUCGGCCACAUUGGAACUGAGAAACGGUCCAA
RNAcentral lists this ribosomal RNA (354 nucleotides) under uncultured bacterium. Its description in RNAcentral is "bacterial SSU rRNA". It matches the Rfam family "Bacterial small subunit ribosomal RNA", at positions 1 to 334 of the family's 1533-position model. The record is from RNAcentral.